UACGAAGGGUGCAAGCGUUACUCGGAAUUACUGGGCGUAAAGCGUGCGUAGGUGGUUUGUUAAGUCUGUUGUGAAAGCCCCGGACUCAACCUGGGAAUGGCAAUGGAUACUGGCAAGCUAGAGUGCGGUAGAGGGUAGUGGAAUUCCCGGUGUAGCGGUGAAAUGCGUAGAGAUCGGGAGGAACACCAGUGGCGAAGGCGGCUACCUGGACCAGCACUGACACUGAGGCACGAAAGCGUGGGGAGCAAACAGG
Molecule: ribosomal RNA, 253 nt
Filed under: uncultured bacterium
Lineage: Bacteria
Description: partial 16S ribosomal RNA
Rfam family: Bacterial small subunit ribosomal RNA
Source: RNAcentral